RNAcentral lists this ribosomal RNA (200 nucleotides) under uncultured bacterium. Its description in RNAcentral is "partial 16S ribosomal RNA". It matches the Rfam family "Bacterial small subunit ribosomal RNA", at positions 29 to 256 of the family's 1533-position model. The record is from RNAcentral.
AGCGAACGCUGGCGGCAGGCCUAACACAUGCAAGUCGAACGGAUCCUUCGGGAUUAGUGGCGGACGGGUGAGUAACACGUGGGAACGUGCCCUUUGGUUCGGAACAACUCAGGGAAACUUGAGCUAAUACCGGAUAAGCCCUCCGGGGGAAAGAUUUAUCGCCAUUGGAGCGGCCCGCGUAGGAUUAGCUAGUUGGUGGG